CAGCAGCCGCGGUAAUACAGAGGGUGCAAGCGUUAAUCGGAAUUACUGGGCGUAAAGCGCGCGUAGGUGGUUUGUUAAGUUGGAUGUGAAAUCCCCGGGCUCAACCUGGGAACUGCAUCCAAAACUGGCAAGCUAGAGUAUGGUAGAGGGUGGUGGAAUUUCCUGUGUAGCGGUGAAAUGCGUAGAUAUAGGAAGGAACACCAGUGGCGAAGGCGACCACCUGGACUGAUACUGACACUGAGGUGCGAAAGCGUGGGGAGCAAACAGGAUUAGAAACCCCUGUAGUCCCUGUCUCUUAUAC
Molecule: ribosomal RNA, 301 nt
Filed under: uncultured bacterium
Lineage: Bacteria
Description: partial 16S ribosomal RNA
Rfam family: Bacterial small subunit ribosomal RNA
Source: RNAcentral